Molecule: ribosomal RNA, 1343 nt
Filed under: uncultured bacterium
Lineage: Bacteria
Description: 16S ribosomal RNA
Rfam family: Bacterial small subunit ribosomal RNA
Source: RNAcentral
GACGAACGCUGGCGGCGUGCUUAACACAUGCAAGUCGAACGGAAAGGCCCUGCUUUUGUGGGGUGCUCGAGUGGCGAACGGGUGAGUAACACGUGAGUAACCUGCCCUUGACUUUGGGAUAACUUCAGGAAACUGGGGCUAAUACAGGAUAGGAGCUCCUGCUGCAUGGUGGGGGUUGGAAAGUUUCGGCGGUUGGGGAUGGACUCGCGGCUUAUCAGCUUGUUGGUGGGGUAGUGGCUUACCAAGGCUUUGACGGGUAGCCGGCCUGAGAGGGUGACCGGCCACAUUGGGACUGAGAUACGGCCCAGACUCCUACGGGAGGCAGCAGUGGAGAAUAUUGCACAAUGGGCGGAAGCCUGAUGCAGCAACGCCGCGUGCGGGAUGACGGCCUUCGGGUUGUAAACCGCUUUCGCCUGUGACGAAGCGUGAGUGACGGUAAUGGGUAAAGAAGCACCGGCUAACUACGUGCCAGCAGCCGCGGUGAUACGUAGGGUGCGAGCGUUGUCCGGAUUUAUUGGGCGUAAAGGGCUCGUAGGUGGUUGAUCGCGUCGGAAGUGUAAUCUUGGGGCUUAACCCUGAGCGUGCUUUCGAUACGGGUUGACUUGAGGAAGGUAGGGGAGAAUGGAAUUCCUGGUGGAGCGGUGGAAUGCGCAGAUAUCAGGAGGAACACCAGUGGCGAAGGCGGUUCUCUGGGCCUUUCCUGACGCUGAGGAGCGAAAGCGUGGGGAGCGAACAGGCUUAGAUACCCUGGUAGUCCACGCUGUAAACGGUGGGUACUAGGUGUGGGGUCCAUUCCACGGGUUCCGUGCCGUAGCUAACGCUUUAAGUACCCCGCCUGGGGAGUACGGCCGCAAGGCUAAAACUCAAAGGAAUUGACGGGGCCCCGCACAAGCGGCGGAGCAUGCGGAUUAAUUCGAUGCAACGCGUAGAACCUUACCUGGGUUUGACAUGGAUCGGGAGUGCUCAGAGAUGGGUGUGCCUCUUUUGGGGUCGGUUCACAGGUGGUGCAUGGCUGUCGUCAGCUCGUGUCGUGAGAUGUUGGGUUAAGUCCCGCAACGAGCGCAACCCUUGUUCACUGUUGCCAGCACGUUAUGGUGGGGACUCAGUGGAGACCGCCGGGGUCAACUCGGAGGAAGGUGGGGAUGACGUCAAGUCAUCAUGCCCCUUAUGUCCAGGGCUUCACGCAUGCUACAAUGGCUGGUACAGAGAGUGGCGAGCCUGUGAGGGUGAGCGAAUCUCGGAAAGCCGGUCUCAGUUCGGAUUGGGGUCUGCAACUCGACCUCAUGAAGUCGGAGUCGCUAGUAAUCGCAGAUCAGCAACGCUGCGGUGAAUACGUUCCCGGG